CAAAAGGCUGAACCCUAGGGUGUUAAACUCCAUGGAUGAAGUGUAGAAAGAAUGAGGUUGCGGAGAUUUGCCGGGAUUUCUCAGGGUGGUUGACCGUCUCUGCAUGCCGAUGAUUUCAUCUUCCAUCAUCAAUCAACAACCCUAAUUGUCGGUUAACGUUUCUGAUGAAUCAUUGCCCAGAAUGGUGCGGGCUAUUGCCCGCCCUUCUGUGUAUUCAAUGAAUCAUCAUAAUCAUCAAUUCACCAUUCAUCAACUCCAACGCUAUGAACCUUUUAUGGCUUAUCUUAUGGAUAGCCAUUGUUGAUCUGCUUAAACCUCGGUUUUGCAGUGAAGCUAUACGCGCUUGAAACUACAGAUCUUCAGUUGCCUGUUCAUGUUUGUGUUGUUGUUGUUUCUGUUAUUACUACGGAGUAUUAUUAUUAUUAUUAUUGGUUAUGUAGGCUGUGAUGAUGAUGAUUUUUCUACAGUUCAUCAGGUAUGGAGGGACCCGACCCGUAUCUUGGCGGGGCGACCUCCAGGUCUGCAGCCAUGGCGGUAUGGCUUCUCCAUUACCAAAUCUGAGCCUAAUUUCUGAUGGCAAGUGAUUUGCCUAAAGAGUUAAUUCCAUUUUGGUCCCUUGACUGUUAGAUUGUAGCCACAAUCUGCUCAUAUCGUAAAGCUUAUUAAUCAGAAUUCGUUUCUGAUCCCUGUUACCACACAAGAAUGAGGGUGUAGAGAGAUUUGGGUGUUUCUAUGGCGGUUGCCCCUCUCUAUGCUUCAGUGAUUCCUUUAGGUUUUGUCCACAUGCAACAGCCAAAUAUUUCAUUCCAACAACAAACAACAUAUAUAUAUAUAUAUCAUUCAUCUUUCUGUUUCUUAAUACUGGGUAAAUAAUUUGCUGCAUUUUAGCUGCAAUGAGAACAUAUAAAACAAAACAAAAACAUUGUUGGUUCCGGUUGAUAUGUAGGCAGUGAUGACAAAUAUCUUGAUCUGAUUGGGUAAGGAAGAAGUGAGCCGUAUCUUGGCGGGGCAACUGGAAUUUUGCAGCCAUGGCGCUGUUGCUAUCCUUGCUUGAUCAUAUUGCUUGUCUGAGCCUGCUACCUAUCUAUCUAUGUAUCUAUAUCUGUCUGUCUGUCCAUCUAUCCACUGUUCAUAUUAUUCUUUGGAAGUCCAGUGAUUUUCCAUUUACUGUUGAAAUGAUGAGUAGGGGCAUUUAUGUUGUUAACAGCCACAUUAUUUUUGCCACAAUUGUGCAGGCUAUGAUGAUUUGUAUCUUCACCCUCUUGUAUAUGUUAGUCUUGGAAGCAACUGACCCAUACCUUUGGCAAGGCAUACUUAUAUAGCCUAUGAAAGGGACUGAUUUUCUCUUUCCUCUGUAUAGCUAUUGAGAUUGCAGCCAAUGUUGUAUCUGUGUGCUUGACUGUUCUUAUUUUAUUAUACAUCUGAGCUUGUUCUCACUCACUGUGCACAUAGUACAUUCUUGAAGACCAAGUUUAAGCUUGGCCAAGUGCUCUUUAACAUGUCGCACCCCUACAAGAGUCGAACCUUUGACGUUGCAUAGUUGUCAACUUACCAACUAUCCCAAAUUGUUUGGUUAACAAUGACGGUAGGGGUGCAAGAGAGAUGUCCAUGAGGUUUGCCGGCAUUUUGGAUUUCUCUGGGUAUAACCUGUGGCAUAACUUUCUAUGUAAAUUUAUUUUCUUUAAGUGUCACUCUUGAAACCUCAGGUUGGACUAAUGCUGUCGUUUGCUUAUCUUUUUGUGGAUUACCUUAUCUGGAGAAAGUGACGAGGCUGCUGAAGGGGGAGAUGUUCUUCUGCUGCCCAACUUGAACAAGAAUGAUUCCCUGCUUUCUUCUCAGAGGAGUAGCACUAGCAAGCUGUGAGACACCUGUUCAUAUUACUUGCCUCGGUGACCACUUAAAUUUUGUGAAAGACGUUAUUGCGACCAGAUUUUGCUACAGAACUGAACCAAGAUGGCUUCAGUCUCUUGCAUAUUGCCUUGAUGAUUGGGGUGUUGGAUAUGGAGAAGGAAAUGCUGAAGGUAGAUUGAAAUCUCCUCAGGGCAGAGAGAA
Molecule: long non-coding RNA, 2052 nt
Organism: Ipomoea nil (Japanese morning glory)
Lineage: Eukaryota; Viridiplantae; Streptophyta; Magnoliopsida; Solanales; Convolvulaceae
Exons: 2
Source: RefSeq, a predicted model, not a curated record